Molecule: ribosomal RNA, 498 nt
Filed under: uncultured bacterium
Lineage: Bacteria
Description: partial 16S ribosomal RNA
Rfam family: Bacterial small subunit ribosomal RNA
Source: RNAcentral
AUUGAACGCUGGCGGCAUGCUUUACACAUGCAAGUCGAACGGUAACAGGCCGCAAGGUGCUGACGAGUGGCGAACGGGUGAGUAAUGCAUCGGAACGUGCCCAGUCGUGGGGGAUAACGCAGCGAAAGCUGCGCUAAUACCGCAUACGAUCGAUGGAUGAAAGCGGGGGACCGUAAGGCCUCGCGCGAUUGGAGCGGCCGAUGUCAGAUUAGGUAGUUGGUGGGGUAAAGGCUCACCAAGCCGACGAUCUGUAGCUGGUCUGAGAGGACGACCAGCCACACUGGGACUGGGACACGGCCCAGACUCCUACGGGAGGCAGCAGUGGGGAAUUUUGGACAAUGGGGGCAACCCUGAUCCAGCAAUGCCGCGUGCAGGAAGAAGGCCUUCGGGUUGUAAACUGCUUUUGUACGGAACGAAACGGCUCUGGUUAAUACCUGGGGCUAAUGACGGUACCGUAAGAAUAAGCACCGGCUAACUACGUGCCAGCAGCCGCCGUAA